GUUGACGUGGGGCGAGCAGGCGGGGUAAUACGAAGGGGGCGAGUGUGGUGCGGAAGCACGGGGCGGAAAGGGCGCGGAGGGGGCCCUGUUUGUGGCGUGUGAAAGCCCCGGGCUCAACCUGGGAAUGGCGCGCGAGACGGCGGGGCUGGAGUUCGGGAGAGGAGCGUGGAAUUCCCAGUGUAGAGGUGAAAUUCGUAGAUAUUCGGAAGAACACCGGUGGCGAAGGCGGCGCUCUGGACCGAGACUGACGCUGAGGCGCGAAAGCGUGGGGAGCAAACAGGAUUAGAUACCCGGGUAGUC
RNAcentral lists this ribosomal RNA (300 nucleotides) under uncultured Salinimonas sp. RNAcentral's name for it is "bacterial SSU rRNA". It matches the Rfam family "Bacterial small subunit ribosomal RNA", at positions 496 to 795 of the family's 1533-position model. The record is from RNAcentral. Lineage: Bacteria; Pseudomonadati; Pseudomonadota; Gammaproteobacteria; Alteromonadales; Alteromonadaceae.